CAGCAGCCGCGGGAAUACGGAGGGUGCAAGCGUUAAUCGGAAUUACUGGGCGUAAAGCGCACGCAGGCGGUCUGACAAGUCAGAUGUGAAAUCCCCGGGCUUAACCUGGGAACUGCAUUUGAAACUGUCAGGCUGGAGUCUUGUAGAGGGGGGUGGAAUUCCAGGUGUAGCGGUGAAAUGCGUAGAGAUCUGGAGGAAUACCGGUGGCGAAGGCGGCCCCCUGGACAAAGACUGACGCUCAGGUGCGAAAGCGUGGGGAGCAAACAGGAUUAGAUACCCCUGUAGUCCCUGUCUCUUAACA
Molecule: ribosomal RNA, 301 nt
Filed under: uncultured bacterium
Lineage: Bacteria
Description: partial 16S ribosomal RNA
Rfam family: Bacterial small subunit ribosomal RNA
Source: RNAcentral